Molecule: ribosomal RNA, 425 nt
Filed under: uncultured bacterium
Lineage: Bacteria
Description: bacterial SSU rRNA
Rfam family: Bacterial small subunit ribosomal RNA
Source: RNAcentral
GGGGAAUAUUGGACAAUGGGCGAAAGCCUGAUCCAGCCAUGCCGCGUGGGUGAAGAAGGCCUUCGGGUUGUAAAGCCCUUUUGUUGGGAAAGAAAACUUUCCGGUUAAUACCCGGAGAGAAUGACGGUACCCAAAGAAUAAGCACCGGCUAACUUCGUGCCAGCAGCCGCGGUAAUACGAAGGGUGCAAGCGUUACUCGGAAUUACUGGGCGUAAAGGGUGCGUAGGUGGUUCGUUAAGUCUGAUGUGAAAGCCCUGGGCUCAACCUGGGAAUUGCAUUGGAUACUGGCGGGCUAGAGUGCGGUAGAGGGUAGUGGAAUUCCCGGUGUAGCAGUGAAAUGCGUAGAUAUCGGGAGGAACAUCCGUGGCGAAGGCGACUGCCUGGACCAGCACUGACACUGAGGCACGAAAGCGUGGGGAGCAAAC